Molecule: small nuclear RNA, 104 nt
Organism: Homo sapiens (human)
Lineage: Eukaryota; Metazoa; Chordata; Mammalia; Primates; Hominidae
Source: Ensembl
AUGCUUGCUUCAGUAGCACGUAUACUACAGUUGGAACAAUAGGGAGAUUGGCAUGGCCUCUGUGCAAGAACGACAUGCAAGUUUCUGAAUCAUUCCAUAUUUUU